CGGGAUGUAGCGCAGCUUGGUAGCGCACCUCGUUCGGGACGAGGGAGCCGCAGGUUCAAAUCCUGUCAUCCCGA
This 74-nucleotide transfer RNA is filed under the name Roseofilum reptotaenium AO1-A. It matches the Rfam family "tRNA". From Rfam's summary of the family: Transfer RNA (tRNA) molecules are approximately 80 nucleotides in length. Their secondary structure includes four short double-helical elements and three loops (D, anti-codon, and T loops). Further hydrogen bonds mediate the characteristic L-shaped molecular structure. tRNAs have two regions of fundamental functional importance: the anti-codon, which is responsible for specific mRNA codon recognition, and the 3' end, to which the tRNAs corresponding amino acid is attached (by aminoacyl-tRNA synthetases). tRNAs cope with the degeneracy of the genetic code in two manners: having more than one tRNA (with a specific anti-codon) for a particular amino acid; and 'wobble' base-pairing, i.e. permitting non-standard base-pairing at the 3rd anti-codon position. Lineage: Bacteria; Bacillati; Cyanobacteriota; Cyanophyceae; Desertifilales; Desertifilaceae. RNAcentral also lists the same sequence under 14 other names. The record is from Rfam by way of RNAcentral.